CCUACGGUAGACAGCAGUGAGGAAUAUUGGUCAAUGGACGAGAGUCUGAACCAGCCAAGUAGCGUGAAGGAUGACUGCCCUAUGGGUUGUAAACUUCUUUUAUAAAGGAAUAAAACGAGGCACGUGUGCCUUUUUGCAUGUACUUUAUGAAUAAGGAUCGGAUAACUCCGUGCCAGCAGCCGCGGUAAUACGGAGGAUCCGAGCGUUAUCCGGAUUUAUUGGGUUUAAAGGGAGCGUAGAUGGGUUGUUAAGUCAGUUGUGAAAGUUUGCGGCUCAACCGUAAAAUCGCAAUUGAUACUGGCAGUCUUGAGUACAGUUGAGGUAGGCGGAAUUCGUGGUGUAGCGGUGAAAUGCUUAGAUAUCACGAAGAACCCCGAUUGCGAAGGCAGCUUACUAAACUGUGACUGACAUUGAUGCUCGAAAGUGUGGGUAUCAAACAGGAUUAGAUACCCUUGUAGUC
This 460-nucleotide ribosomal RNA is filed under the name uncultured bacterium. RNAcentral describes it as "partial 16S ribosomal RNA". It matches the Rfam family "Bacterial small subunit ribosomal RNA", at positions 338 to 795 of the family's 1533-position model. The record is from RNAcentral.